Molecule: ribosomal RNA, 279 nt
Filed under: uncultured bacterium
Lineage: Bacteria
Description: partial 16S ribosomal RNA
Rfam family: Bacterial small subunit ribosomal RNA
Source: RNAcentral
UGCCAGCAGCCGCGGUAAUACGGAGGGUGCGAGCGUUAAUCGGAAUUACUGGGCGUAAAGCGCGCGUAGGUGGCAAGGUUAGUCAGAUGUGAAAGCCCCGGGCUUAACCUGGGAAUUGCAUUUGAUACUGCUAGGCUGGAGUGUGGUAGAGGGAAGCGGAAUUCCGGGUGUAGCGGUGAAAUGCGUAGAUAUCCGGAGGAACACCAGUGGCGAAGGCGGCUUCCUGGACCAACACUGACGCUGAGGCGCGAAAGCGUGGGGAGCAAACAGGAUUAGAUA